AUUUAAAUAGUUUAUACAAUAAAACAUUGAUAUGUGGAAUCAAAAAAAUAAAUUUUAUAUUUUAAAUA
RNAcentral lists this transfer RNA (68 nucleotides) under Capitonius sp. QL-2013. RNAcentral describes it as "tRNA-His". The record is from RNAcentral. Lineage: Eukaryota; Metazoa; Arthropoda; Insecta; Hymenoptera; Braconidae.